CCUACGGGAGGCAGCAGUGGGGAAUUUUGGACAAUGGGCGCAAGCCUGAUCCAGCAAUGCCGCGUGAGUGAAGAAGGCCUUCGGGUUGUAAAGCUCUUUUGUCAGGGAAGAAACGGUGGGAGCUAAUAUCUUCUGCUAAUGACGGUACCUGAAGAAUAAGCACCGGCUAACUACGUGCCAGCAGCCGCGGUAAUACGUAGGGUGCAAGCGUUAAUCGGAAUUACUGGGCGUAAAGCGUGCGCAGGCGGUUGUGCAAGACAGAUGUGAAAUCCCCGGGCUCAACCUGGGAAUUGCAUUUGUGACUGCACGGCUAGAGUGUGUCAGAGGGGGGUAGAAUUCCACGUGUAGCAGUGAAAUGCGUAGAGAUGUGGAGGAAUACCGAUGGCGAAGGCAGCCCCCUGGGAUAACACUGACGCUCAUGUACGAAAGCGUGGGGAGCAAACAGGAUUAGAUACCCUGGUAGUCCACGCCCUAAACGAUGUCUACUAGUUGUCGGUUCUUAAUUGACUUGGUAACGCAGACUACGACGUAGAGUAGACCGCCGNGGGAGGUACGGUCGCGAGAAGUUAAACGUACGAAGUAGAGUAGAGCGNGAGAGNGCGAGGACGACGACGAGGGAGGAGG
This 624-nucleotide ribosomal RNA is filed under the name uncultured bacterium. RNAcentral's name for it is "bacterial SSU rRNA". The stretch from base 1 to 543 matches the Rfam family "Bacterial small subunit ribosomal RNA", at positions 338 to 873 of the family's 1533-position model. The record is from RNAcentral.